RNAcentral lists this long non-coding RNA (382 nucleotides) under Linum usitatissimum (flax). RNAcentral's name for it is "long non-coding RNA (LUSI_LNC002996)". Lineage: Eukaryota; Viridiplantae; Streptophyta; Magnoliopsida; Malpighiales; Linaceae. The record is from RNAcentral.
UAUGAGUAUAUAUCGAGCAGCCAGAUAAACACUAAAUCGUAAUCAAUCAUGGCAUGCAAAAAUAUUACCAGGAAAAAAGAAGGAAGAAACACACUUCAAUAACUCUAAAGUAUGUGUUACAAGCGAAGAAAUAAACUAGUUUGGUUCGACAUCUGUUUCGAAUUUAAUAUGCUACUCAAAUCAACUAGAGAUGUUGAUACGACAACCUUGUUACAAACCCACUAUAUUAUUGGUAGGGUUCACCGAUUUGUUGUCUCAAGGAAGCUGCCGGCUAUUGUGGCCAAUGAUUUUGAGGAAUAUGCGGUUACCCUCCAACUGCAGACUUGGUUGUGGCCGGCUUACGAUCCUGAUCAGGGUUAGGAUCUUGCUCCUCAGGCUUGAU